UGUAGCUACGUACGGAGGAGCUGCGCGUUCAUUGCUGCUACAAAUUACAUGAACGCUACCUGGGAAAACACAACAUGUGGUAUGGCAGCAGCUCCAACGAUUUUCAACUAUGGUCGCAGCGAGCAGCAUCCUGCAGGGAGCAUUAUAAUGGUCAAGUCCUGAGCUGACAAAGGCUGAAAAACAAAGAAACCCAAACUGUGUGCAUGAGGUCAGCAGAGAGACUCUUACAUACUCCCUGUGCAUAAUCUAGCAUACUAGAAUUUUCUAGUGAAUUCAGGCCACUGUUGAACCACUGUGACACCUGUAGAAGUUAGAAAACUCCAGCGAAUCCUGGCCUCAAGGAGCUGCUGGCAGGUUCCCUUUGCUUCCAUCCAUACAUCUGGGCUCCACAC
This is a long non-coding RNA of Corvus hawaiiensis (hawaiian crow), 392 nucleotides long. RefSeq lists it as uncharacterized. The transcript has 3 exons. Lineage: Eukaryota; Metazoa; Chordata; Aves; Passeriformes; Corvidae. The record is from RefSeq and is a predicted model, not a curated record.